This 352-nucleotide ribosomal RNA is filed under the name uncultured bacterium. RNAcentral describes it as "bacterial SSU rRNA". It matches the Rfam family "Bacterial small subunit ribosomal RNA", at positions 28 to 379 of the family's 1533-position model. The record is from RNAcentral.
GAUGAACGCUAGCGGCAGGCCUAAUACAUGCAAGUCGAGGGGCAAUUCUGCUUUCGGGCAGAAGCGACCGGCGCACGGGUGCGUAACGCGUAUGCAACCUAUCCACCACUGGGGGAUAGCCCGGAGAAAUUCGGAUUAAUACCCCAUAAUGCAGGGGUCCUGCAUGGGACUAUUUGCUAAAGAUUUAUCGGUAGUGGAUGGGCAUGCGUCUGAUUAGCUAGUUGGUGAGGUAAGGGCUCACCAAGGCGAUGAUCGGUAGGGGGUCUGAGAGGAUGAUCCCCCACAAUGGGACUGAGACACGGCCCAUACUCCUACCGGAGGCAACAGUACGGAAUAUUGCACAACGGACGGA